Molecule: ribosomal RNA, 380 nt
Filed under: uncultured eukaryote
Lineage: Eukaryota
Description: partial 18S ribosomal RNA
Rfam family: Eukaryotic small subunit ribosomal RNA
Source: RNAcentral
CAAUAGCGUAUAUUAAAGUUGUUGCGGUUAAAAAGCUCGUAGUUGGAUUUCUGCUGAGAACGACCGGUCCGCCCUUUGGGUGUGUAUCUGGCUCUUUCUUGGCAUCUUCUUGGUGAACGUUGCUGCACUUGACUGUGUGGAGCGCUACCCAGGACUUUUACUUUGAGGAAAUUAGAGUGUUUCAAGCAGGCAUACGCCUUGAAUACAUUAGCAUGGAAUAAUAAGAUAGGACCUCGGUUCUAUUUUGUUGGUUUCUAGAGCUGAGGUAAUGAUUAAUAGGGAUAGUUGGGGGCAUUCGUAUUUAACUGUCAGAGGUGAAAUUAUUGGAUUUGUUAAAGACGGACUACUGCGAAAGCAUUUGCCAAGGAUGUUUUCAUUGA